GCAGACGGUCAGUUCGUCGCUCGCACCCUUGUGGUGCGUGAGGAAAGUCCGGGCAACGCAGGGCAAUCCGCUUCUUAACCGGAAGUCGUCCGCGAGGGUGAAUACGUGCAGAAGAAAACAACCGCCUUUUUGUGCUUGCGCGAAAGGGUAAGGGUGAGAAGGUGAGGUAAGAGCUCACCGGCCGAACGGUGACGUUCGGGCCGUGUACAUCGGAUGUUGAAAGUUCAUGUAAACCGGCGCUAUCAAGGCGGCCCGCCUGAGUCUUUCAAGACGUGUCGGAGGGUAGAACGAUAGAAUGUGUCGGCAACGGCGCAUCCAGAUAAAUGACGAACACCUCCACCGGAGGUACAGAACCCGGCUUAUCGACCGUCUGCUCCU
RNAcentral lists this RNase P RNA (378 nucleotides) under Alloprevotella sp. OH1205_COT-284. RNAcentral's name for it is "Bacterial RNase P class A". It matches the Rfam family "Bacterial RNase P class A". Rfam says of the family: Ribonuclease P (RNase P) is a ubiquitous endoribonuclease, found in archaea, bacteria and eukarya as well as chloroplasts and mitochondria. Its best characterised activity is the generation of mature 5'-ends of tRNAs by cleaving the 5'-leader elements of precursor-tRNAs. The record is from Rfam by way of RNAcentral. Lineage: Bacteria; Pseudomonadati; Bacteroidota; Bacteroidia; Bacteroidales; Prevotellaceae.